AAUAUUGCACAAUGGAGGGAACUCUGAUGCAGCAACGCCGCGUGAGUGAAGAAGGUUUNCGGAUCNUNAAACUCUGUCAUUGGGGNAGAAUAAAUGACGGUACCCAAUGAGGAAGCCCCGGCUAACUACGUGCCAGCAGCCGCGGUAAUACGUAGGGGGCGAGCGUUGUCCGGAAUUAUUGGGCGUAAAGGGUUCGCAGGCGGUCUAUUAAGUCAGAUGUGAAAGAUCACGGCUCAACCGUGGUAAGCAUUUGAAACUGGUGGACUUGAGUUAUGGAGAGGAAAGUGGAAUUCCUAGUGUAGCGGUGAAAUGCGUAGAUAUUAGGAGGAACACCAGUGGCGAAGGCGGCUUACUGGACCGUAACUGACGCUGAGGCACGAAAGCGUGGGUAGCAAAC
Molecule: ribosomal RNA, 397 nt
Filed under: uncultured bacterium
Lineage: Bacteria
Description: partial 16S ribosomal RNA
Rfam family: Bacterial small subunit ribosomal RNA
Source: RNAcentral